Molecule: ribosomal RNA, 380 nt
Filed under: uncultured eukaryote
Lineage: Eukaryota
Description: partial 18S ribosomal RNA
Rfam family: Eukaryotic small subunit ribosomal RNA
Source: RNAcentral
CAAUAGCGUAUAUUAAAGUUGUUGCGGUUAAAAAGCUCGUAGUUGGAUUUCUGUUGAGAGCAGCGCGUCUACCUUUUGGGUAAGUAUGUUGCUUGGUCUCGGCAUCUUCGUGGAAAACGUUUCUGCGCUUGAUUGCGUGGGGCGGGGUUCACGACUUUUACUUUGAGGAAAUUAGAGUGUUCACGGCAGGCAUACGCCUUGAAUAUAUUAGCAUGGAAUAAUAACAUAGGGCUUACGGCCUAUUUUGUUGGUUUCUAGGCUGCAGGCAAUGAUUAAUAGGGACAAUUGGGGGCAUUCGUAUUAACGCGUCAGAGGUGAAAUUCUUGGAUUGCGUUACGACGAACUACUGCGAAAGCACUUGCCAAGGAUGUUUUCAUUGA